AGAGUUUGAUCAUGGCUCAGGAUGAACGCUAGCUACAGGCUUAACACAUGCAAGUCGAGGGGCAGCAUGGCGGUGGCUUGCCACCGCUGAUGGCGACCGGCGCACGGGUGCGUAACGCGUAUCCAAUCUACCCAUGGCUCGGGGAUAGCCUUCUGAAAGGAAGAUUAAUACCCGAUGGUCUUUGCUGGGGGCAUCCCCGGUGAAGUAAAGUUGUUUUACGGCGAUGGAUGAGGAUGCGACCGAUUAGGUAGUUGGUGGGGUAACGGCCCACCAAGCCGUCGAUCGGUAGGGGUUCUGAGAGGAAGGUCCCCCACACUGGAACUGAGACACGGUCCAGACUCCUACGGGAGGCAGCAGUGAGGAAUAUUGGUCAAUGGGCGGAAGCCUGAACCAGCCAAGUAAGCGUGCGGGAAGACGGCCCUAUGGGUUGUAAACCGCUUUUGUUCGGGAAUAAUUUGGGGGACGUGUCCCCUAUUGCAUGUACCGUUCGAAUAAGCAUCGGCUAAUUCCGUGCCAGCAGCUGC
This 524-nucleotide ribosomal RNA is filed under the name uncultured bacterium. Its description in RNAcentral is "bacterial SSU rRNA". It matches the Rfam family "Bacterial small subunit ribosomal RNA", at positions 8 to 518 of the family's 1533-position model. The record is from RNAcentral.